RNAcentral lists this ribosomal RNA (407 nucleotides) under uncultured bacterium. RNAcentral's name for it is "partial 16S ribosomal RNA". It matches the Rfam family "Bacterial small subunit ribosomal RNA", at positions 30 to 526 of the family's 1533-position model. The record is from RNAcentral.
AUUGAACGCUGGCGGCAGGCCUAACACAUGCAAGUCGAGCGGAGCGGCGGACGGGUGAGUAAUGCCUAGGAAUCUGCCUGGUAGUGGGGGAUAACGUCCGGAAACGGGCGCUAAUACCGCAUACUAUCAGAUGAGCCUAGGUCGGAUUAGCUAGGUGGUGGGUUAAAGGCCUACCAAGGCGACGAUCCGUAACUGGUCUGAGAGGAGGAACAUUCACCCUGGAACGAAGCCACGGUCCAGACUCUUACGGGUGGCAGCAGUGGGGAAUAUUGGACAAUGGGCGAAAGCCGGAUCCAGCCAUGCCGCGUGUGUGAAGAAGGUCUUCGGAUUGGAAAGCACUUUAAGUUGGGAGGCGUUACCAACAGAAUAAGCACCGGCUAACUUCGUGCCAGCCGCCGCGGUAAUAC